This 492-nucleotide ribosomal RNA is filed under the name uncultured bacterium. RNAcentral describes it as "partial 16S ribosomal RNA". It matches the Rfam family "Bacterial small subunit ribosomal RNA", at positions 29 to 507 of the family's 1533-position model. The record is from RNAcentral.
AGUGAACGCUGGCGGUAGGCCUAACACAUGCAAGUCGAACGGCAGCACAGUAAGAUCUUGCUCUUACGGGUGGCGAGUGGCGGACGGGUGAGGAAUACAUCGGACUCUACUUUUUCGUGGGGGAUAACGUAGGGAAACUUACGCUAAUACCGCAUACGACCUACGGGUGAAAGCAGGGGAUCUUCUGACCUUGCGCGAUUGAAUGAGCCGAUGUCGGAUUAGCUAGUUGGCGGGGUAAAGGCCCACCAAGGCGACGAUCCGUAUCUGGUCUGAGAGAAGGAUAAGCCACACUGGAACUGAGACACGGUCCAGACUCCUACGGGAGGCAGCAGUGGGGAAUAUUGGACAAUGGGGGCAAGCCUGAUCCAGUCAUACCGAGUGGGUGAAGAAGGCCUUCGGGUUGUAAAGCCCUUUUGUUGGGAAAGAAACGCAGCAGGUUAAUACCCCGCUGUUCUGACGGUACCCAAAGAAUAAGCACCGGCUAACUUCGUG